RNAcentral lists this ribosomal RNA (253 nucleotides) under uncultured bacterium. RNAcentral describes it as "partial 16S ribosomal RNA". It matches the Rfam family "Bacterial small subunit ribosomal RNA", at positions 524 to 776 of the family's 1533-position model. The record is from RNAcentral.
UACGAGGGGGGCGAGAGUUGUUCGGAAUUAUUGGGCGUAAAGGGCGCGUAGGCGGCCUUGUCAGUCAGGCGUGAAAGCCCCGGGCUCAACCUGGGAACGGCGCUUGGGACGGCGAGGCUGGAGUUCGGGAGAGGAGAGUGGAAUUCCCAGUGUAGAGGUGAAAUUCGUAGAUAUUGGGAAGAACACCGGUGGCGAAGGCGGAUCUCUGGGCCGAUACUGACGCUGAGGAGCGAAAGCGUGGGGAGCGAACAGG